ACCAUACAAGUGCCUUGAGUGUGGGAA
RNAcentral lists this non-coding RNA (27 nucleotides) under Homo sapiens (human). Lineage: Eukaryota; Metazoa; Chordata; Mammalia; Primates; Hominidae. The record is from RNAcentral.